GAUGAACGCUAGCGAUAGGCUUAACACAUGCAAGUCGAGGGGCAGCAUGGUCUUAGCUUGCUAAGACUGAUGGCGACCGGCGCACGGGUGCGUAACGCGUAUGCAACUUGCCUCACAGAGGGGGAUAACCCGUCGAAAGACGGACUAAUACCGCGUACACUCCAUCUUGGGCAUCCAAGGUAGAGGAAAUGAAAUUCGCUGUGAGAUAGGCAUGCGUCCCAUUAGCUAGUUGGUGAGGUAACGGCUCACCAAGGCGACGAUGGGUAGGGGAACUGAGAGGUUGAACCCCCACACUGGUACUGAGACACGGACCAGACUCCUACGGGAGGCAGCAGUGAGGAAUAUUGGUCAAUGGGCGAGAGCCUGAACCAGCCAAGUCGCGUGAAGGAUGACUGUCUUAUGGAUUGUAAACUUCUUUUAUACGGGAAGAACAAGAGUCACGUGUGACUCCCUGCAUGUACCGUAUGAAUAAGAAGCGGCUAACUCCGUG
Molecule: ribosomal RNA, 490 nt
Filed under: uncultured bacterium
Lineage: Bacteria
Description: partial 16S ribosomal RNA
Rfam family: Bacterial small subunit ribosomal RNA
Source: RNAcentral